Molecule: transfer RNA, 72 nt
Filed under: Ovis aries (sheep)
Lineage: Eukaryota; Metazoa; Chordata; Mammalia; Artiodactyla; Bovidae
Rfam family: tRNA
About the family: Transfer RNA (tRNA) molecules are approximately 80 nucleotides in length.
Source: Rfam by way of RNAcentral
UCCCUACUAGCUCAGACGGUAAAGCAUCUGCCUGCAAUGCAGGAGACCCAGGUUCAAUCCCUGGGUCGGGAA